This 1673-nucleotide long non-coding RNA is filed under the name Homo sapiens (human). RNAcentral's name for it is "HSALNT0376147". Lineage: Eukaryota; Metazoa; Chordata; Mammalia; Primates; Hominidae. The record is from RNAcentral.
AAAUUAUUUUAGGCAUGGGAUCAAAGAAGAAACUUCUUUGUAGCAGCAUCCCAGUACUAGGACUUUUUGUCUCUGCAUGGAAAUCUGAAUAUAUUUAUAUGUUGGAGUGACAUCUCUACAGGAAGCCUAGAGACCUAACUGUUUGCUACAUGUCACCAAAGUUAAAGUGGCUACCUUAAUGAGCAGCCAGGAUGCCAUCAUCUCCGACCUGAAUGACAAUAACCUCCAAACCAGCCUUUGUAUACUCCUUCCUGCUGCUCUGCAGUCCACUUCCACAGACCAGCCAACUGAAUCUCCUUAUAGAUUCAUAAUGGCCAUCAGCACAAAGAUGUUUUAUCUGCAGUCAACCAGUCAUGUUUCAUGAUGGCAUCAAAAUGUGCUGGAAAAGGUCAGAGAAAAUCAUCAUCAUAAAGUGAAGUGAUUUUCUUCUUUAUGAGCUCCUGAUGUAAACAGACUGAUGAGCACAACACAAUCCUUACUCACCCACAUGACAUCAUACACAAUCACAGCUAAAUGUUUCUAUCUGUCAAAGCCUGAAGAGUGACUACCAGAUUGUUGCCUGAUUGCUAAGAAUUGAUGCUUGUUCAACUGGGAUCUAUCCAGAGAAACAUAAUCCACUUCAAGAAUUUUCUGAAAAGGGAAUCUAAUGCAAGGAAUUAAUUGCAAAGAUGAUGCAAUAUCUGAGAACGAUAGAUUUGACAGUUUGGUCUACAUUUCAAGGCUGGUUAGAUGGGAGGUAUGUCCUGGUAUAUUAGUUAAUUUAGGUAUAUCUUACUGAUUUACAUUGCAUGAUUUAUCAGAUGCUAUUGACUCAUUCAAGUAAAUACAUUUAAAAAUUAUACCUUUUGCUCAUACUAGUAAUUGGGUCAGUCAUGCUCUUGAAGGAGGCAUACUGGGAGCCAUACAUUACCAGAGGCAGAGGAUUCAAUGGAUGUUUUCUGUUUUCUCUUCUUCGUGCUCUGUAAUUGAGACACAGAACAAAGGAGGAAGACUAAGUGCUCUGCCUUAACUCAGGCCAGGCUGUGGGCGCAAGUGCACCAACGGCUUUGAGACUAACACACAGCUCAGAACAAGGAGGUGAAAAUCUGACAGCUCAAAAUGAAGCAAAAACCCAAGAUUAAAACAGACACCAUUUUGUGCCCACUCAGUCUUCUUUCCAGGGUCAUACAUGUAGGCAGCCUUCUGGAGUGUCCACUGUGAAGAUGCUGGCUGCAGCACAGGAGGUGUAGACAGGGUUGUCCACUCAGUGGAGCAGGUUGUCUGCAUACCUCAUUCUUCCUGGAUACGGGACAAGAACUCAGUACCCACUAAAUGGCAAGACUAAAACAGCUGUAACACAAACAGUACUGAAACACACCCACCCGUUUGCCAUUUUGUGGGUGACGAAAAGGAGAGAAGUCCUGCAGCCUAUGUCUGGGAACCCAGACCUCAGGGCUCUUUAAGCCAGGACUGUGACAUGCUGUAACAACCUCUUUGAGGCUCUGCAGUUUCUGGGAUCUCCAAGAUUUCGGGCGCCACUGCAUUCCCCUUGUCCAGAUGUUGGUGCCCACAGCAGAAGUCACCUGCAGUACAUCUGGUACAGCUGCAGCCUUGCAUGGAGUUGGCACCUGUGCCAGCACCUGGAGCUGCCUGUCCAUCACAGCUGGCAUGCCUGGCUGUGCACAGUGGCCAGG